RNAcentral lists this ribosomal RNA (905 nucleotides) under uncultured archaeon. Its description in RNAcentral is "bacterial SSU rRNA". It matches the Rfam family "Archaeal small subunit ribosomal RNA", at positions 5 to 879 of the family's 1478-position model. The record is from RNAcentral.
CGGUUGAUCCUGCCGGGCCCCCACUGCUAUCGGGGAUAGGACUAAGACAUGCUAGUGCAAGCGUCUCCCAUCUAGCCAUGGAAGGGGCGCGGCACACAGCUCAGUAACACGUGGCUAACCUGCCCUUGGGACGGGAAUACCCCCGGGAAACUGGGGCUAAUUCCCGAUAGGUGAAGACCUCUGGAAUGAGUCUUCACCCAAAAGACGCUAAGAUCAUGCUCUUAGCGUCGCCCAAGGAUGGGGCCGCGUCCGAUCAGGUAGUUGGUGAGGUAAUGGCUCACCAAGCCUUUUACCGGUGCGGGCCGUGGGAGCGGGAGCCCGGAGAUGGGCACUGAGACAAGGGCCCAGGCCCUACGGGGCGCAGCAGUCGCGAAAACUUUGCAAUACACGAAAGUGUGACAGGGCUAUCCCGAGUGCCAUCCGCUGAGGAAGGCUUUUACCCAGUAUAGAAAGCUGGGGGAAUAAGGAGAGGGCAAGUCUGGUGUCAGCCGCCGCGGUAAUACCAGCUCUCCGAGUGGUGUGGAUGUUUAUUGGGCCUAAAGCAUCCGUAGCUGGCCGAACAAGUCCCCUGUUAAAUCCACCGAAUUAAUCGUUGGAUUGCGGGGGAUACUGUUCGGCUAGGGGACGGGAGAGGCCGACGGUAUUCUCGGGGUAGGGGUGAAAUCCUAUAAUCCCGGAAAGACCACCAGUGGCGAAGGCUGUCGGCUAGAACGCGCCCGACGGUGAGGGAUGAAAGCUGGGGGAGCGAACCGGAUUAGAUACCCGGGUAGUCCCAGCUGUAAACGAUGCAGGCUAGGUGUUUGGGCGGCCACGUGCCGCUCUAGUGCCGCAGGGAAGCCGUUAAGCCUGCCGCCUGGGGAGUACGGCCGCAAGGCUGAAACUUAAAGGAAUUGGCGGGGGAGCAC